AUAUAUAUAUAUAUGUGUGUGUGUGUGUGUAUGUAUACACACACACACACACACACAUAUAUAUAUAUAACAUAU
Molecule: non-coding RNA, 75 nt
Organism: Podarcis lilfordi (Lilford's wall lizard)
Lineage: Eukaryota; Metazoa; Chordata; Lepidosauria; Squamata; Lacertidae
Source: the annotation of a GenBank genome assembly